UACGUAGGGUGCAAGCGUUAAUCGGAAUUACUGGGCGUAAAGCGUGCGCAGGCGGUUAUGUAAGUCAGGGGUGAAAUCCCCGGGCUUAACCUGGGAACUGCAUUUGUGACUGCAUAGCUAGAGUACGGUAGAGGGGGAUGGAAUUCCGCGUGUAGCAGUGAAAUGCGUAGAUAUGCGGAGGAACACCGAUGGCGAAGGCAAUCCCCUGGACCUGUACUGACGCUCAUGCACGAAAGCGUGGGGAGCAAACAGG
This 253-nucleotide ribosomal RNA is filed under the name uncultured bacterium. RNAcentral describes it as "partial 16S ribosomal RNA". It matches the Rfam family "Bacterial small subunit ribosomal RNA", at positions 524 to 776 of the family's 1533-position model. The record is from RNAcentral.